UACGUAGGGCGCAAGCGUUGUCCGGAAUUAUUGGGCGUAAAGAGCUCGUAGGCGGCCUGUUGCGUCCGCUGUGAAAUCCCGGGGCUCAACCCCGGGCCUGCAGUGGAUACGGGCUGGCUAGAGGCAGGCAGGGGAGAACGGAAUUCCUGGUGUAGCGGUGAAAUGCGCAGAUAUCAGGAAGAACACCCGUGGCUAAGGCGGCUCUCUAGUACGGUACCGACGCUGAGACGCGAAAGCGUGGGGAGCGAACAGG
RNAcentral lists this ribosomal RNA (253 nucleotides) under uncultured bacterium. RNAcentral describes it as "partial 16S ribosomal RNA". It matches the Rfam family "Bacterial small subunit ribosomal RNA", at positions 524 to 776 of the family's 1533-position model. The record is from RNAcentral.